UACAGAGGGUGCAAGCGUUGUUCGGAAUUAUUGGGCGUAAAGGGAGUGUAGGCGGUUGGGAAAGUCUUCUGUGAAAUCUACGGGCUCAGCCUGUAACGUGCAGAGGAAACUACUCGGCUUGAGUGUCGGAGAGGAUAGGGGAAUACCCGGUGUAGAGGUGAAAUUCGUAGAGAUCGGGUGGAACACCAGUGGCGAAGGCGCCUAUCUGGCUGACAACUGACGCUGAGACUCGAAAGCAUGGGGAGCAAAC
RNAcentral lists this ribosomal RNA (250 nucleotides) under uncultured bacterium. RNAcentral's name for it is "partial 16S ribosomal RNA". It matches the Rfam family "Bacterial small subunit ribosomal RNA", at positions 524 to 773 of the family's 1533-position model. The record is from RNAcentral.